UCGGGGGGGUGGUCAGGGAUAGAACCCGUCCGCUCCCUCUCAGGCCUGGGCCCCAGGAUAGGGGCAGCCGUGCCGCCUCCAUCCUUCGAAGGCUCCUCUCCCUGUUUUCCCGGGGUUCCCUGCAGGCCCGGGCCCUCCUGCCCGCCCGAGCCCCUCCGCGGGUUACCAUGCUGGCGGGCCGGCCGGCCGCGGCCGCGGGGCUCUCGGCGCCCCCUCGGCACCGCCCCCGCGAGGAGGUGCGCUGGGUGUCCGGCGUCUACUCCUGCCGUUUGCUGCGGCGCUGCUUAGCAGAGUUCUCGGUCGGAGAAUCGCACCAGGCAGCGGCAGUAACUGCGGGCCCGGCGUACGGCAGCCAUCUUCGUGGGGCAGGGGGCCAGAUCUGGGCGCGCUGCGGAGCCAGCCGGGACUAGCAGAGCGCAAGGACGCCGGAGGCCCGCCGAGGCCGAGGACUGCACGCACAGGAGUGCCUGCCCUGCAGGAGACCUCGACGCUGCAGCGAAGCGGCCCCGGUGCUGCGGAAACCUGCGCCGGAACAGAGCAUGCGCAGUGCAGUGCCGCCACCGCUGCCGCCCGCGUGGGCAGCAGAGCUCGGAGCCUCGGGCAGUGCUUGCACCGCAGAGGGCGAGGAACACAGCCCAGGUGAGGACA
This is an RNA transcript of Phacochoerus africanus (Common warthog), 648 nucleotides long. RefSeq lists it as uncharacterized. The transcript has a single exon. The record is from RefSeq and is a predicted model, not a curated record. NCBI's taxonomy places the organism in Eukaryota, Metazoa, Chordata, Mammalia, Artiodactyla, Suidae.